RNAcentral lists this ribosomal RNA (208 nucleotides) under uncultured bacterium. Its description in RNAcentral is "partial 16S ribosomal RNA". It matches the Rfam family "Bacterial small subunit ribosomal RNA", at positions 568 to 774 of the family's 1533-position model. The record is from RNAcentral.
CGCGUAGGCGGCUUGGUAAGCCGGAUGUGAAACCCCCGAGCUCAACUCGGGGCGGCCAUUCGGAACUGCCAUGGCUAGAGUCUGGUAGGGGAACACGGAAUUCCUGGUGUAGCGGUGAAAUGCUUAGAUAUCAGGAGGAACACCAGUGGCGAAGGCGGUGUUCUGGGCCAGUACUGACGCUGAGGCGCGAAAGCGUGGGGAGCGAACA